RNAcentral lists this ribosomal RNA (253 nucleotides) under uncultured bacterium. RNAcentral describes it as "partial 16S ribosomal RNA". It matches the Rfam family "Bacterial small subunit ribosomal RNA", at positions 524 to 776 of the family's 1533-position model. The record is from RNAcentral.
UACGGGGGGUGCGAGCGUUGUCCGGAAUCACUGGGCGUAAAGGGCGCGUAGGUGGUUUGAUAAGGGUGUGGUGAAAGUCCGGGGCUCAACCCCGGAUCUGCCGUGCCGACUGUCAAACUCGAGGGCUGUAGAGGCAGACGGAAUUCCGGGUGUAGCGGUGGAAUGCGUAGAGAUCAGGAGGAACACCGGUGGCGAAGGCGGCCAUCUGGACGACUACUGACGCUGAGGAGCGAAAGCGUGGGGAGCGAACAGG